AAAUUGAAGAGUUUGAUCAUGGCUCAGAUUGAACGCUGGCGGCAGGCCUAACACAUGCAAGUCGGGCGGUAGCACAGAGAGCUUGCUCUC
Molecule: ribosomal RNA, 90 nt
Filed under: Enterobacter chengduensis
Lineage: Bacteria; Pseudomonadati; Pseudomonadota; Gammaproteobacteria; Enterobacterales; Enterobacteriaceae
Description: partial 16S ribosomal RNA
Rfam family: Bacterial small subunit ribosomal RNA
Source: RNAcentral